UACGUAGGGGGCAAGCGUUGUCCGGAUUUAUUGGGCGUAAAGAGCGUGUAGGCGGUCAGGUAGGUCCGUUGUGAAAACUCGAGGCUCAACCUCGAGACGCCGAUGGAAACCAUCUGACUAGAGUCCGGAAGAGGAGAGUGGAAUUCCUGGUGUAGCGGUGGAAAUGCGCAGAUAUCAGGAGGAACACCGGUGGCGAAGGCGGGUCUCUGGGCAGUAACUGACGCUGAGGAGCGAAAGCGUGGGGAGCGAACAGG
Molecule: ribosomal RNA, 254 nt
Filed under: uncultured bacterium
Lineage: Bacteria
Description: partial 16S ribosomal RNA
Rfam family: Bacterial small subunit ribosomal RNA
Source: RNAcentral